AUCUUCCCAGACCGGGGCACGAACCCGUGUCCCCUGCAUCGGCAGGCGGACUCUCAACCACCGCGCCACCAGGGAAGCCCAUCUCAGCGCCUUUUAAUACACUCCUGAGUGUGGUCUGGAGGUGAGUGUUCCACGAUCCGUAAGGAUUCCGAGCUACCGGAGACUCCAGUUGUUGUCUUGUUGCUCCACCAUCCCUCGGGCUUGGCCCUUGUCUGAAUGAAUAUUUGACCACACAUGGGUGGAUGGAUAUUCCAGCCAGGAGGACUGAGGGUCCCUGUCCUCACUUCCGGAGCUUACAAUGAAAUGAACUGAGCCAGAGAGGAUGCUACGGCAGAGAGAGACAAUGGCCAGCGUGACAGAAGGGAUUCAUCUAAGAUUCUUUUCCAGUAUACGUUAUUACAAGAUAUUGAAUAUAGUUCUCU
Long non-coding RNA from Aethalodelphis obliquidens (Pacific white-sided dolphin), 422 nucleotides. RefSeq lists it as uncharacterized. NCBI's taxonomy places the organism in Eukaryota, Metazoa, Chordata, Mammalia, Artiodactyla, Delphinidae. The transcript is spliced from 4 exons. The record is from RefSeq and is a predicted model, not a curated record.